GCGGGCUUCAUCUAUGCCUGUUAUGUUGUGAAAUGUAUUACUGAAGAAGAGGACAGCUUUGAUUUCAUAGGUGGAUUUGACUCUUACGGCUAUCAAGGUCCACAGAAGACAUCUCAUUUACAGCUACAGCCCAUGUAUAUGUCAAAGUAAACAAAGGGGCUACUCAACGUGGGCUGGAGGACCUGUCAGAGAAACUGUUUCAGGAUGACCCCUGGUUCUUCAAAAAAAUCCAGUUUUUAUGCUAAAAUAAUUAAAAUAGCUGAUUGAACAGUGAGACAAAAAGCAACAGACGCCUUCGGCCCCUCUUUCUAACAGGUACUAAGGGAGAUGCCCCAGACCCCCACCUUGGACAUCCUUCCUCCCAGCACCAGAGGGCCAGAGCAGAGGCGUUGGUGUCAUCUUCUGGCUCUUCCUUACCCAGGCUGCCCCCGGUGCAGCCCGUCUGGAUUAAGACAUGAACCCAGCCCAUUUGGUGCUUUCGGAGCCCACUCUGCACUCCUGGCUGCAUCGAGUCUCCUUAGUCAACACACCACUAAAAAUACCAGGAUGACCUUGCAGCAGAAGUCAAUAGACAGCACGUUGUUUGCCCUGAAGGCUGUACAGUUCAUACUUGCCUUAACCCAACUGCAUUGCACAUCAGAGAAACUCCGUGCAAGCUUUCUGAAGUAACAUCCUUUAGGCUCAACAUGCUGCUGUUAAUUCGGAACGAUUUCUAAGUCAGUGGUUUUCUUCUGUUUGGUUUUGUUUUGUUUUCAUGUCAGGGAAUAAGGCUCUGUUGCUCCACAGCUCCAGAGCGACCAAGUAGAAAACUGCCAGCUGUCUGAGAAGUGCUUUACUUUUGAGGCUCCACAGUGGUCAAGAAACAAACAGUUUAUAAUGGUUAAGAAAAAAAAAAAAAAAAAAAAAAAGAGACCUUUUGGGGGUUGGGGUGGGGAAAAGGGUAACAUAAACUAAUAAUUGAACCUACUGGAAAUAAGCAGCAGAAACAGUGCUUCUUAAUCCCGCUGUUUUUAUUUAUCGCACUGUAGGUGCUUUUAUAGCUAUCUCUAAAUGUCUUUUACUAACUACAGAGACAUCUGCAGAUUUCUAUCAACAAAGGCCAACUGAAUAUGUACUAGCUACGUUUACUCUUUUAUAUCUAAUUUCAACUGAAAAUUCUCUGUAAGUGAGCUUUUUUUUCUAAUUGAACCAUAAGGGAUCCAUAUAUUUUAUUUUAUGGUUUCAGUUAGGGAGGGCAGGGAGGGGCUAGUUGAGUUGAAGAAUAUUGAAGACCUUUUUGUGGUAUAUUUGGGGGAUCUGUUGUGUGUUAGAACGUGUACUUUAUCUUCCUGUAUUAUCGUGGCUGAAAAAAAAAACUGUGCUGUUACGUAGUUGGCAACAAGAUGCCUUUGGGAAUUUUGCUAGUAGGUCAAUGUGUAUAUGAAAUACUCUGAACUCCUAGGAACAUAUGUUUUGUUCUACAUCUGAUCUGUAUUUUCAAGCACUUAGGUGGCUUUCAUUAGGAAAAACCCGAUAUUUUGCUCAGGCUUUUAAGAAACUUGGAUUGUCAUUGUUUCUUUGCUCAGACCUUGCAUAGGCGAACGCACGCACCUCCCACACCUGAGGUGACCACCUAGCUUUUGAGGGCAAGGGGGAAGGUCAGUGCUUGGAAAGACUUGAGCUGCCCCCGGGCAUCUCCCUCUUCCUUGCUGACCAGACCCUCAUGCCUGCACAGCUCCCACUCAUCCAUCCCUGUACAAACCUGUGCCCUUUGCUGUCUCUGCAUGGAUGUACAGUCUCACAAGCAACAACUCUGGACAAUGACAGAGGAACAGGCAUUCACCAGUGAAAACAAGAUACGGGACAUGUUCAGGAACUAUGCUUGCAUUUAUUCAGAGCGAUUUAUAUAUAUAUAUAUAUAUGUAAGAGUGUGUGUGUGUAUGUCUCUGUAUAUAAAAUACACAGGAAUAGCUAUUGACAGGGGCUGCAUAACCCAGGAAGCCAAGGAUAAAGGGGGCCAAGGGCUCCAGCCCCAGACCCUGCUGGAUCCUGUGUGAAUCAGGCACGUGCCCCAGGCUGGCUCCCAUAAAGCAUUCAUGGCAAGUUUGCAUCUCAAAUUUAAAUUUUCAUACUUGGGUACCAGAACUUCUGAAUUUGUUCUGAGUAGAGCUGCUUUUCACUCCCUGGGAAAUCAUGCACCUUCCAAGAGCCAGGCUGAAAUUUCCCAUAACUUAAAAAACUGGAAAAGUUCCCUCUCCACAUGAUAUUAAGUAUAGCAGAUGUACAGUAUUAAACACAAUGUAGAGGCUUAACUGGACUGAAAAUGUCAUAACAGGGUAUUUUGGUUUUCCCUGUAUAAUGGUUAAGCAAAAUCAUAUUUCUAUAAAGAUGAUUUUUUUUAAACCCUAAAAGAAACCAGUUUAGGCACCUAAGCAGUGACCCAAUUUUCAGAAGAUAAUUCUUCAUACGUUUCAGUGAUUUCCCACUACAGCAGCUGCUGGUAGUUAGCAAUUUUAGAAGUCAGACAAUUUAGUGAAGUGUCUACAUGUAGCUUUUAGGCCUGAUUUUAAUUUAGAAAAUUUUGGCCUUAACUUCUCUGUGUCUUAGUCUUCCCACCUGUAAAACGGGAAUAAUAUGUGCCUCACAGGCUUUUUGUGAGGUCUAAAUUGUUAAUGUUUGUAAUGCGCUUAGGAAAUAGGAAGCACAUCUAACUAUUAAGUGCUACAAUAUACAGGCGUAUUCAUAUAUUACAUAUAGAGUAGAUAUACACACACUCACAUACAUGCAGUAUACAUAUAUAUAUACAUACAUACCUGUAUGAAGUUGGUAUUCAUAAUCUUGCUUAAGUUGCAGUUAAAGCACCACCAUUAAAAGGAAAUUAGGACUGUUGACUACUAAAUGAUUAGUGGACAGAUCUCUUCUGGAAGCAGUUUAGAGCACAGUGAUGUGAGAAUAUCUGGAUGACAUUUUUGAUUUGUACAGCUGUAUCCUCCUCAAAAUCCAGUAAAGAAUGUUAUUUUUCUAAGCUGGGCUUUUGUUAUAAACUUAAAUAUUCAGAAGGCAAGAGAUACAAUCCAAAUGUGUCUUUUUUUUUCUUUUCUUUUUUGGCAUUUGUUAAUUCUGAAUGUAUUUUUAACAAAAGUGAUUUUUUUGACUUACUAGUGUAAUUUGCAUUUUAAAAAAAUAAAUGGAAAAAAUAUAGGUUUCCAAGCUAUUCAUGCCCCCCUGCUGCUAUUCACAACUUUCAGGAAACUCAGAAUUACUGCUCCCAACUGAGCAACAAUGCAGGAUAAAGAAUGCUAUUACAUUUACAUGAUGACAAUCCUGAUCUGUGCAGUGCACGGAUGUGACAGCAUUGAAUAGAAAUCGCCAGGUCACGACACCAUUUUAGCUCUGUCAUAGGUAGCAGGUAUUUUCAUUAUCACUGACACUAAAAGGUUUCUUUUACAAGGCUGAAUGCAAUAGACUCUUCACUUAGAAAAUGGGGAUUUUUGCCCACUCAUCAGGAAUUUUAAGCCUAUGAUAGGUUUACAGUUGCCAGCAGUGUUAAGUAUUGCAAAAGUAAUCCUUGUUAAGAGGGAGCUAUGUAACAUGGAUAUUGCCACUGCAUUAAUAUUCUUUUAUAAGCUGUUCAUUGUCCCUAUGCUGAAAUGAUGAAAUCCUGUCUUAGGCAACGUUUUUAUAGUGCUCACAUAUAUUGACAGCUUGCCUGAGAUCCUUUAAUAAAGGUGGAGCAGAACGGUUUACAUUUGCAGAUACUCAGUUGUGCUAUCCUAAAACUAGUCCUAAGAAAGAGCGUUCAUUAAUUAUUGUUAUUAGGAUUUUUAAUGCCAUAAUUAUAGUGUGAGUGACACUUUUCAGUCAGGUAAGGAGAAACGGUUUGUGCUCCACUUGCUGAAUUAUAGUACUGGUUGCAAUACUCAACUGCCAUAUAGCAUUUUGACAAAGGCGAGUGCAGUAUCUAUUGAUCCCUGGAUGUCUCCAGAAAGGAGUGGCUACUAACUCAGUGUCUGAAGGUUUUGAUCAUUUGCACUCUCCCCCUCCAUUUGAGCACACUGAUAGUAAGCAAAACAAAAACCCAUACACCGUGAAUUCUUCCAGCUUGUAAUAUAUUUAUAUCCAGUCCUCUGUGUCCUUUUUCAGCGCAAUUACUCAGAGGAUGAGGGUUUUUCUCACAAAGGUGGAAAGCCCCAUGAAUGUUCAAUGUGUAGGUAUUGCUUGCUUUCUUUCUCCUGAUGAGUCUCUUCAAUAUAGCUGAUACAAAAUUGACAGACUUCUUGAGUUUUUCUAGCUAAUCUGAAUCUGGUUUCUUCACAGUGCAUGUGGACUGGGGCCAGGCACCAAAGGUGAGACAGACAGGUUUUAUUGAAAAGCUGAUGCAUAGAAAUACUGCAGACAGCACCGUGUCCACUGCUGCUUGGAGAAAGACGUAUACUGUUGUUAUGUUAAUCAGUCCGCUCCAAGCUACGUGCAAUAUAAAAUGUAAUCACCAUGCACAAAAGAAACUGCCCUUCAGACUGCAGCUAUUCAUUCAGGUAUAGAAUUGGCACAACACAGAAAGAGCCAGCAAAAGACGUUUCCUUCCUGUAGCGACUAAUAUGCUUCAUUCCCAGCCAUGGACUGGAGAAAUCAUCUCUCUUUGGUCUCAUGUCCUGACAAUUCCCUUCUUUUCAGACCUUCACCAAGAGGGGCAAUUACAGCCAGUUGGAGAUGUGACUUUUGCAUAGCUGAGUGGGACAGGAAAAAAGAUAUUUUACCAAAUGUGGCGUUUUCAUACCUUUGUUGCGCAUCUCUCUCUGCAUGUACGAAAGAAGGCUCUUUUAAAAUGCACUCUUCCUUUAUCUCUCAGAAACCAAGACAGAUAAUGUCUUUUACAAGUGUCUUCCAAAUCAUGCAAAGAUCAUUUAAGAGUUUUUUAAUGAGGUCCUAUCAAAACACCACCUUUCCUGCUCUCUGUUCAGUAGUAGACAGAUCUUGGGAUUUCCAAAUGCCUUGAGAUUAUUAAUUUGGAUAGAUAGGAGCACUGUGAAACCUAAGAAUUUUUAAAAACUGCUUGUGGUCAUCUCUGAUUCAAAAAUGAAUGUCCCAUUCAAAGGCCAGACUUCUAUAGUCAUCAGUAGAAGAGGAUCUUUGCUGCCAUCUGUUACCUAACCAUUUUCGUAUCCCCACCAUCAUCUUACUGGGAAAUAAGUUAUAUGGACCUAAAUGUGAAGAAGCAUGUUCAUACUCAGCAGUCUUCUGUUCUGCCACACAGAAUGCUAUUCCAUACAUAUUUCAUUUCUUUCUCCCUGUCACCAUCUUCUUGUCCCGUUCUCACUCUCCCCUCUGCCUGAACAUAACUCCAAAUACCCUUCCCAAAUUGCGUACUGUUCUUUGUCACAUCCAUUGUUUCAAACUGUUCAGAUAAUGACUGUGAUACCAGCCGUGGAGGACAGUAUCACUGUGGAUAUGUGCAAAGAAGAGGAAGCACAAAGGUUAUGUACAUCCCCCAAAGUCCCCAGAUACAGGAGACCAUUAACAGAAGGGCAAAGGCUGGCAGUGUUACAGAAGCCGUGAGGUACAGUGAGCCCUAGCAGGAAACACUUUCAAAUGUGCAAUUACAUUUGCUAAAGCUAUAGUUCAGUGAGUACAAGGAGAGUCAUAAAUAUCCACAGCUACAAAAGGCACAGGUGAACUAGAAGAAAAUUCAUAGAAAAUGUGUUUGUGAACACGUUGACUGAAUCAGAUUCAUAUUUCAGUCUCUUCAAAUUUGUCUCAGUUUGCUUUUUUCUCUUGCAAACAUUUGGAUCAUUGGUUUCUGUUCAUGCAGGUGAACUUUUUGUUCCUAGGAGAACACGUAAGUAUGUGCAAUUGCAUUAAUUUACAUGGGUUUCUCAGUAUUCAUGCAUCUAUGUGCAUUUGAGCUAAAUGUUGGUUCAUUCAUACAUGCACAUACACAUACAUAUCUGUUAUCUGCAUACCUUUCAAGGUGGGGAUACAAAACCACACACAGAGUCUUUCUCCUUUUCUACUUAGCUUUUUCUAUCCCUCCUCUUAAGAGAUUCAAACCUCAAGUGUUUAUUUUUCAGAUGGGCACUCUGUCUACAAAAGUUGCAAUUUCUGAUACUUACUGGAUGUACAGGCAUGGUACAAUCUGUGAACAUAGUAAAUAAGACAGCCCUUUCUGCAAAGAGUUUGUAUGUUAAAUAAAGUAAAUGAGGCCAUUUCAAUUUACAAAAAAAAGAAAAAGAAAAAUAUUAUCUCACAGUCCCACUCUGUUGUUAAAUUUUGAUUAAUCAAAAAAUUGGGUGCCAAAAAACUUCAGGAAAAGGAGAAAGGAGGGAAAAAAGGGGAAGUAAAAGUACAAUUAUAAGGUGAUAUGGUUAGUUUAAGUGUGUACAUAUGGGAGUUGAAAAAAAGAAUCAGCCAAUUAUAUGUCACUAGAAUAUCCAAUUAUUUAUGAUAACUCCACAUGAAUGUAUUAUAUAAUAUCCUACAUUUUAGAGGCAUCUAAAGCAGUAGCUAUGGAAGAAGAGCAACAUUGAAGGGACUGCAAAUUGAUGCCAUCACAAAAGGUUGAUGGAUUGAUUCAAUUAAUCAGUAAGUCAUUUCUAAGAGAUCUGCAGGGAUUUAUUUACCAAACACUUACAUUGUUUAUUUUGCUCUCUGGAGGGUAUGUGUACUGUCAUUUUUCUUCAUUAUUCUUCUUGUUUCAUUCAUCAAUUUCUGACAAAUAUUUUUAUGCCGAUAUGUGGCAUGUUGCGAAUGUAAAUUUUCCACAUUUACUGAUUUAAAGCAAUACACUCCAAGCUUCCAGUAGCUGAGAACUUUUGUUUAUUUCCCUCAGGUCCUGAGAAAUUCUAGCCAUCUAUAAUUAAUAUACAGACAUGUUUUCCAUUAAUCUUUGCUUUCACUGUCUGCUCAACAUGACAGGGAUGUAAGGUCUUGUCUAGUAUAAUAUGUGGGCACCUCCUUAAAUUUUAGAAAGAAACUUACUAUGAAAAGCCUUUUGAACACUGUUGACGCUAAAUAAAAUAACUUUUCCAUCUUUGAUUUGGCCUUAUAUUUUGUAGUUCAAAUCCAGGAGAACAAUGCAAGAAUGUUUUAAGAAUGCCAGCAGUUUCACCAUGUUUUCCAUAGCAUUAGAUAUCUUUUCUAUUUUAAUAUUGUCAUAGCAUAUGCUUCAAAGUCAAUACAUAGGAAUGGCAAAAUUAGAUCAAAUUACCAAUUACAAAAUGGCAGAUGCUGGGCACAACAGAGGUCUGUGAAGGAAGAAGACCCGAAACAGAAUGGAAACCAUGCUUUGACUUGGACAAAUAUUUUUAUUUUAAACUAUCAGGAACACUGAAUUUCUAAAAAAAUUAAAACAAAAACAUUUCUCAUGUUCAUUGCAUACACAUUUGCAGCAAGGGUGUGAUUUUCAGGCGUCAUCAGCACUGGCCAAAAUCUGACCUCACUAUAGGUGGCUAGGAGCAUUUGCAAAAUGUAUGGUAUGGUGAUAUAAAAAUUUUAUCUAUACUCAUUUGUGCUGACCUACAUAACUUGCUCAUUGCCACAUUUGUACCAGUAAAAUCUUUCUAUCA
Calidris pugnax (ruff) is the source of this 7541-nucleotide RNA transcript. It is a transcript of the gene named Na+/K+ transporting ATPase interacting 2, with no coding region annotated. The record is from RefSeq and is a predicted model, not a curated record. Lineage: Eukaryota; Metazoa; Chordata; Aves; Charadriiformes; Scolopacidae. The transcript is spliced from 3 exons.